GGGAUACCACUUGGAAACAGGUGCUAAUACCGGAUAACAACAAUAGCUGCAUGGCUAUUGCUUAAAAGGCGGCGAAAGCUGUCGCUAAAGGAUGGACCCGCGGUGCAUUAGCUAGUUGGUAAGGUAAUGGCUUACCAAGGCGACGAUGCAUAGCCGAGUUGAGAGACUGAUCGGCCACAUUGGGACUGAGACACGGCCCAAACUCCUACGGGAGGCAGCAGUAGGGAAUCUUCCACAAUGGGCGAAAGCCUGAUGGAGCAACGCCGCGUGAGUGAAGAAGGUUUUCGGAUCGUAAAGCUCUGUUGUUGGUGAAGAAGGAUAGAGGUAGUAACUGGCCCCUAUUUGACGGUAAUCAACCAGAAAGUCACGGCUAACUACGUGCCAGCAGCCGCGGUAAUACGUAGGUGGCAAGCGUCGUCCGGAUUUAUUGGGCGUAAAGCGAGCGCAGGCGGAAAGAUAAGUCUGAUGUGAAAGCCCCCGGCUUAACCGAGGAAUUGCAUCGGAAACUGUGUUUCUUGAGUGCAGAAGAGGAGAGUGGAACUCCAUGUGUAGCGGUGGAAUGCGUAGAUAUAUGGAAGAACACCAGUGGCGAAGGCGGCUCUCUGGUCUGUAACUGACGCUGAGGCUCGAAAGCAUGGGUAGCGAACAGGAUUAGAUACCCUGGUAGUCCAUGCCGUAAACGAUGAGUGAUAGGUGUUGGGA
Molecule: ribosomal RNA, 702 nt
Filed under: uncultured bacterium
Lineage: Bacteria
Description: bacterial SSU rRNA
Rfam family: Bacterial small subunit ribosomal RNA
Source: RNAcentral